AUUGACGGAAGGGCACCACCAGGAGUGGAGCCUGCGGCUUAAUUUGACUCAACGCGGGGAAACUCACCAGGUCCAGACACAAGGGGGAUUGACAGAUUGACAGCUCUUUCUUGAUUCUGUGGGUGGUGGUGCAUGGCCGUUCUUAGUUGGUGGAGUGGUUUGUCUGGUUGAUUCCGAUGACGAACGAGACCUUAACCUGCCAAAUAGUUACAUGUAAUUACGGUUGUGUGGGCAACUUCUUAGAGGGACUUUGUGUGCCUAGCACGAGGAAGUGUGAGGCAAUAACAGGUCUGUGAUGCCCUUAGAUGUUCUGGGCUGCACGCGUGCUACACUGAUGCACCCAGAGAGUGUCCUAUCUUCCCUGGAGAGGUUGGUCAAUCUGCCAACCUGUGUCGUGAUGGGGAUGGAUCAUUGCAACUAUUGCUCCUGAACGAGGAAUUCCUAGUAAAAGCAGGUCAUCAACUUGCAUUGAUUGUGUCCCUGCCCUUUGUACACACCGCCCGUCGCUCCUACCGAUUGAGUGGUCCGGUGAAUAGUUUGGACCUGAGCAUCCAGUCGUGGAGCAGCACAAUCAGAAAUUCAGUGAACCUUAGCACUUAGAGGAAGGAGAAGUCGUAACAAGGUUUCUGUAGGUGAACCUGCAGAAGGAUCA
RNAcentral lists this ribosomal RNA (652 nucleotides) under Gambierdiscus sp. GT_O. RNAcentral's name for it is "SSU rRNA". It matches the Rfam family "Eukaryotic small subunit ribosomal RNA", at positions 1152 to 1828 of the family's 1831-position model. Lineage: Eukaryota; Dinophyceae; Gonyaulacales; Pyrocystaceae. The record is from RNAcentral.